This 503-nucleotide ribosomal RNA is filed under the name uncultured bacterium. RNAcentral's name for it is "partial 16S ribosomal RNA". It matches the Rfam family "Bacterial small subunit ribosomal RNA", at positions 30 to 523 of the family's 1533-position model. The record is from RNAcentral.
AUUGAACGCUGGCGGCAUGCCUUACACAUGCAAGUCGAACGGCAGCAUGGAGAGCUUGCUCUCUGAUGGCGAGUGGCGAACGGGUGAGUAAUGCGUCGGAACGUACCGUGUAAUGGGGGAUAACGUAGCGAAAGUUACGCUAAUACCGCAUACGACCUGAGGGUGAAAGCAGGGGAUCGCAAGACCUUGCGUUAUACGAGCGGCCGAUGUCAGAUUAGCUAGUUGGUGAGGUAAAGGCUCACCAAGGCGACGAUCUGUAGCGGGUCUGAGAGGAUGAUCCGCCACACUGGGACUGAGACACGGCCCAGACUCCUACGGGAGGCAGCAGUGGGGAAUUUUGGACAAUGGGGGCAACCCUGAUCCAGCCAUGCCGCGUGAGUGAAGAAGGCCUUCGGGUUGUAAAGCUCUUUUGUCAGGGAAGAAACACCGGCUCUAACACAGUCCGGGGAUGACGGUACCUGAAGAAUAAGCACCGGCUAACUACGUGCCAGCAGCCGCGGUAA